Molecule: ribosomal RNA, 497 nt
Filed under: uncultured bacterium
Lineage: Bacteria
Description: partial 16S ribosomal RNA
Rfam family: Bacterial small subunit ribosomal RNA
Source: RNAcentral
GAUGAACGCUGGCGGCGUGCCUAAUACAUGCAAGUCGAGCGAACAGACGAGGAGCUUGCUCCUUCGACGUUAGCGGCGGACGGGUGAGUAACACGUAGGUAACCUACCUAUAAGACUGGGAUAACUUCGGGAAACCGGAGCUAAUACCGGAUAAUAUUUCGAACCGCAUGGUUCGAUAGUGAAAGAUGGCUUUGCUAUCACUUAUAGAUGGACCUGCGCCGUAUUAGCUAGUUGGUAAGGUAACGGCUUACCAAGGCAACGAUACGUAGCCGACCUGAGAGGGUGAUCGGCCACACUGGAACUGAGACACGGUCCAGACUCCUACGGGAGGCAGCAGUAGGGAAUCUUCCGCAAUGGGCGAAAGCCUGACGGAGCAACGCCGCGUGAGUGAUGAAGGUCUUCGGAUCGUAAAACUCUGUUAUUAGGGAAGAACAAACGUGUAAGUAACUGUGCACGUCUAGACGGUACCUAAUCAGAAAGCCACGGCUAACUACGUG